AGACCCGAAACCCGGUGAUCUAGCCAUGGGCAGGUUGAAGGUUGGGUAACACUAACUGGAGGACCGAACCGACUAAUGUUGAAAAAUUAGCGGAUGACCUGUGGCUGGGGGUGAAAGGCCAAUCAAACCGGGAGAUAGCUGGUUCUCCCCGAAAGCUAUUUAGGUAGCGCCUCGUGAAUUCAUCUCCGGGGGUAGAGCACUGUUUCGGCUAGGGGGCCAUCCCGGCUUACCAACCCGAUGCAAACUGCGAAUACCGGAGAAUGUUAUCACGGGAGACACACGGCGGGUGCUAACGUCCGUCGUGAAGAGGGAAACAACCCAGACCGCCAGCUAAGGUCCCAAAGUCAUGGUUAAGUGGGAAACGAUGUGGGAAGGCCCAGACAGCCAGGAUGUUGGCUUAGAAGCAGCCAUCAUUUAAAGAAAGCGUAAUAGCUCACUGGUCGAGUCGGCCUGCGCGGAAGAUGUAACGGGGCUAAACCAUGCACCGAAGCUGCGGCAGCGAACGUAUCACCCAAGACAACUUUACGGAGUUGACGAUUGACGGAGCGAAGCGACGUCAAAGCGUUCAUUAAAGUCGAGUUGGCUUAGGGAUACGUUCGUUGGGUAGGGGAGCGUUCUGUAAGCCUGUGAAGGUGUGUCGUGAGGCAUGCUGGAGGUAUCAGAAGUGCGAAUGCUGACAUAAGUAACGAUAAAGCGGGUGAAAAGCCCGCUCGCCGGAAGACCAAGGGUUCCUGUCCAACGUUAAUCGGGGCAGGGUGAGUCGACCCCUAAGGCGAGGCCGAAAGGCGUAGUCGAUGGGAAACGGGUUAAUAUUCCCGUACUUGGUGUUACUGCGAAGGGGGGACGGAGAAGGCUAUGUUGGCCGGGCGACGGUUGUCCCGGUUUAAGCGUGUAGGUGUGUGUUCCAGGUAAAUCCGGUUCACUUUAACACUGAGGCGUGACGACGAGGCACUACGGUGCUGAAGCAACAAAUGCCCUGCUUCCAGGAAAAGCCUCUAAGCAUCAGGUAACACGAAAUCGUACCCCAAACCGACACAGGUGGUCAGGUAGAGAAUACCAAGGCGCUUGAGAGA
This 1073-nucleotide ribosomal RNA is filed under the name Salmonella enterica subsp. enterica serovar Typhimurium. RNAcentral describes it as "partial 23S ribosomal RNA". It matches the Rfam family "Bacterial large subunit ribosomal RNA", at positions 711 to 1697 of the family's 2925-position model. Lineage: Bacteria; Pseudomonadati; Pseudomonadota; Gammaproteobacteria; Enterobacterales; Enterobacteriaceae. The record is from RNAcentral.